RNAcentral lists this ribosomal RNA (491 nucleotides) under Megalonaias nervosa. RNAcentral's name for it is "partial 16S large subunit ribosomal RNA". It matches the Rfam family "Bacterial large subunit ribosomal RNA", at positions 1815 to 2601 of the family's 2925-position model. The record is from RNAcentral. Lineage: Eukaryota; Metazoa; Mollusca; Bivalvia; Unionida; Unionidae.
AUCGUCUUUUGAUGUCCCGCAUAAAAGAUAAUGCCUGCCCAGUGAAAAACUUUAAACGGCCGCGUUAGCGUGAGCGUGCUAAGGUAGCGUAGUAAAUAGCCCCUUAAUUGGGGGCCAGUGAAUGGCAAGACUAGGAACAUUUGUACCUUUUAUACCACAAAAACUUUUCAUCUGAGUGAAAAGACUCAGAUAAUAGAGGAAGACGAAAAGACCCCGCGGAGCUUUACCUCAUCCAAUCCCACGCCUACAAGCACAAGAAAUAAGAGGUUUGAUUGGGGCAAUCUCGGAACCAACCAAGCUUCCGACUUUAUUACAGAAAAAUAUAAAACUUAAUAAGGACAAAAAAGAAGCUACCCCGGGGAUAACAGCGUAAUCCAACUUGAGAGUACACAUCGAAAGUUGGGUUUGCGACCUCGAUGUUGGCUUAAGGAUAUCCACACUAGUGCAACCGCUAUGGCAGGACAGUCUGUUCGACUAUNUCACCCUUACAU